UACGUAGGUGACAAGCGUUGUCCGGAUUUACUGGGCGUAAAGAGCGCGCAGGCGGUCGAUCAAGUCGAGUGUGAAAGCCCCCGGCUCACCUGGGGAGGGUCAUUCGAAACUGGUCGACUCGAAGGCAGGAGAGGGUAGUGGAAUUCCCGGUGUAGUGGUGAAAUGCGUAGAUAUCGGGAGGAACACCAGUGGCGAAGGCGACUACCUGGCCUGUUCUUGACGCUGAGGCGCGAAAGCUAGGGGAGCAAACGGG
This 253-nucleotide ribosomal RNA is filed under the name uncultured bacterium. RNAcentral's name for it is "partial 16S ribosomal RNA". It matches the Rfam family "Bacterial small subunit ribosomal RNA", at positions 524 to 776 of the family's 1533-position model. The record is from RNAcentral.